CCUACGGGGGGCAGCAGUGGGGAAUAUUGCACAAUGGGCGAAACCCUGAUGCAGCGACGCCGCGUGAGUGAAGAAGUACUUCGUUACGUAAAGCUCUAUCAGCAGGGAAGAAAAUGACGGUACCUGAGUAAGAAGCCCCGGCUAACUACGUUCCAACAGCCGCGGUAAUACGUAGGGGGCAAGCGUUAUCCGGAUUUACUGGGUGUAAAGGGAGCGUAGACGGUUCGGCAAGUCUGGAGUGAAAUGCCGGAGCUUAACUGGGGAACUGCUUUGGAAACUGGCGAACUAGAGUGCUGGAGGGGUAAGCGGAAUUCCUAGUGUAGCGGUGAAAUGCGUAGAUAUUAGGAGGAACACCGGUGGCGAAGGCGGCUUACUGGACCGUAACUGACGUUGAGGCUCGAAAGCGUGGGGAGCAAACAGGAUUAGAUACCCCAGUAGUC
RNAcentral lists this ribosomal RNA (440 nucleotides) under uncultured bacterium. RNAcentral's name for it is "partial 16S ribosomal RNA". It matches the Rfam family "Bacterial small subunit ribosomal RNA", at positions 338 to 795 of the family's 1533-position model. The record is from RNAcentral.